GAUGAACGCUAGCUACAGGCUUAACACAUGCAAGUCGAGGGGAAACGACAUCGAAAGCUUGCUUUUGAUGGGCGUCGACCGGCGCACGGGUGAGUAACGCGUAUCCAACCUGCCCAUCACUUGGGAAUAACCUUGCGAAAGUAAGACUAAUACCCAAUGAUAUCCCACGAAGGCAUCGGAAUGGGAUUAAAGAUUUAUCGGUGAUGGAUGGGGAUGCGUCUGAUUAGCUUGUUGGCGGGGUAACGGCCCACCAAGGCAACGAUCAGUAGGGGUUCUGAGAGGAAGGUCCCCCGCAUUGGAACUGAGACACGGUCCAAACUCCUACGGGAGGCAGCAGUGAGGAAUAUUGGGCAAUGGGCGAGAGCCUGAACCAGCCAAGUAGCGUGCAGGAAGACGGCCCUAUGGGUUGUAAACUGCUUUUAUAAGGGAAUAAAGUGGGUCACGUGUGACUUUUUGCAUGUACCUUAUGAAUAAGGACCGGCUAAUUCCGUG
This 492-nucleotide ribosomal RNA is filed under the name uncultured bacterium. RNAcentral describes it as "partial 16S ribosomal RNA". It matches the Rfam family "Bacterial small subunit ribosomal RNA", at positions 28 to 507 of the family's 1533-position model. The record is from RNAcentral.